GGAUAGUUUACUACAUCUCCCUCCUGAUAUAUCAAACAGAUCAUGGAAGAUUUGAGGCAUUAAAGAUUUGCUUGACAAACCCCUGGAAAAUUGUGAGUUUUACUAGCUUAAUGGUGUACAGACCUCUGUCUCCUCACAAAAUAUAUAUGUAUAUAUUUUACAACAUCCACGAUUCAUGAGAUCACACAUAUUUUUCCCAAAGCUGAUGAGUUACAGGUUACCUCUUGGAGUUAAGAGACCAGAACUGAAGAACAGAACCAGAUCCAAAUGGCACAAAAGUAACAGCAGCUUGAAGAACUACUGAGUACCAAGUGCACACAACCGAGCACAAAGCUACUUGGAAUGAUCCCAUCCCACAGAUUUCUGAAGUGCUGUGGUUCCACCAAGUCUGCAGGUAGAGCUUAAACCCAGACCAUCUCUGUGCAUUUGCAGUAAGGAGCCCGGUACCAGCUCUAACAAAGAAUGAGACAAAUAAAUAAUUAAUUUAUUAAAGUUAUAUAAAGUAC
This 506-nucleotide long non-coding RNA is filed under the name Coturnix japonica (Japanese quail). RNAcentral describes it as "lncRNA (ENSCJPG00005001899.1)". Lineage: Eukaryota; Metazoa; Chordata; Aves; Galliformes; Phasianidae. The record is from RNAcentral.